GAUGAAGAACGCAGUGAAAUGCGAUACUUGGUGUGAAUUGCAGAAUCCCGUGAACCAUCGAGUCUUUGAACGCAAGUUGCGCCUCAAGCCAUUAGGUUGAGGGCACGUCUGCCUGGGCGUCAUAUAUCGUUGCCUGAUGCCAGUUUCCUCGUGAUGGGUGACUGUGCAGGGCGAAUGAUGGCUUCCCGUGAGCAUUGUUGCCUCAUGGUUGGUUGAAAAUUGAGUCCUUGGUAGGGAGCGCCGUGAUAGAUGGUGGUUGAGUGACGAACGAGACCCAAUCAUGUGAGACCCCUACCGAAUUUGGCCUUCAUGACCCACAUGCGUCUUUGGAACGCUCAUGACGAGACCUCAGGUCAGGCGGGGCUACCCGCUGAGUUUAAGCAUAUCAAUAAGCGGAGGA
RNAcentral lists this unclassified non-coding RNA (400 nucleotides) under soil metagenome. RNAcentral describes it as "partial contains 5.8S ribosomal RNA, internal transcribed spacer 2, and large subunit ribosomal RNA". The stretch from base 1 to 122 matches the Rfam family "5.8S ribosomal RNA", at positions 35 to 154 of the family's 154-position model. The record is from RNAcentral.